GAUGAGGUGGCCGGAGGGGUUAAGGCGAUGGACUGCUAAUCCAUUGUGCUCUGCAUGCAUGUGUUCGAAUCCUAUCCUCAACG
RNAcentral lists this transfer RNA (83 nucleotides) under Salmo salar (Atlantic salmon). It matches the Rfam family "tRNA". Rfam says of the family: Transfer RNA (tRNA) molecules are approximately 80 nucleotides in length. Their secondary structure includes four short double-helical elements and three loops (D, anti-codon, and T loops). Further hydrogen bonds mediate the characteristic L-shaped molecular structure. tRNAs have two regions of fundamental functional importance: the anti-codon, which is responsible for specific mRNA codon recognition, and the 3' end, to which the tRNAs corresponding amino acid is attached (by aminoacyl-tRNA synthetases). tRNAs cope with the degeneracy of the genetic code in two manners: having more than one tRNA (with a specific anti-codon) for a particular amino acid; and 'wobble' base-pairing, i.e. permitting non-standard base-pairing at the 3rd anti-codon position. The record is from Rfam by way of RNAcentral. Lineage: Eukaryota; Metazoa; Chordata; Actinopteri; Salmoniformes; Salmonidae.